Molecule: ribosomal RNA, 247 nt
Filed under: uncultured bacterium
Lineage: Bacteria
Description: partial 16S ribosomal RNA
Rfam family: Bacterial small subunit ribosomal RNA
Source: RNAcentral
AUACGGAGGAUCCAAGCGUUAUCCGGAUUUAUUGGGUUUAAAGGGAGCGUAGGUUGACAUAUAAGUCAGCUGUGAAAGUUUACGGCUCAACCGUGAAAUUGCAGUUGAUACUGUAUGUCUUGAGUGUACAAGAGGUGGGCGGAAUUCGUGGUGUAGCGGUGAAAUGCUUAGAUAUCACGAAGAACUCCAAUUGCGAGGGCAGCUCACUGGGGUACAACUGACGCUGAGGCUCGAAAGCGUGGGGAGC